Molecule: long non-coding RNA, 279 nt
Filed under: Capsicum annuum
Lineage: Eukaryota; Viridiplantae; Streptophyta; Magnoliopsida; Solanales; Solanaceae
Description: long non-coding RNA (CANN_LNC018856)
Source: RNAcentral
UUUUACAGUCUCUAGCUAAAUGUCCUAGUUUUUCACAAUUAUAACAAGUAUAUUCUUUUAUAGAUUUCAUUUUUCUAUAUGGUCUUUUAUAUUUAUAAUUUCUUACAUAAUAUCUUUUUCUUGGUUUCUUAUACUUAUAUUUUGACUUGCUGUACUUCUUAUAUUUCCCGUGUCUUUUUCUUUUCUUAUAAUAUUUUUCUUCACAUCUAAAUUGGGGUGCUAUUUUAUCCUUGCAACAUGCUAAAUUCCUUAUUAAUAUUUUUUCCAUUUUUAUUUCUA